AACAUCUGCAUCUCGGUAACUGAAACACAAGCCAUGCAUGUUGUUGUGACUGCAGAGAAGACUGGUUUGCACUCAAGAGAAACUAGGGCGUGACUCCCACCCAGAUCCAGCUUUUACUGUAUCAGCCACCUAAGCUCUUUCAGCUUGCUUACUUGUCUGUGAGAAGGCUGGGGUUCAUCCAUACCCCUCUGGGUGUGAGGGGAAUAAAACCACACAUACCUGGCUCCCAUAAGCUCAAGAAGGUGCUGUGACAUUCCCUAGGAGGGUCCCCAUACUGAGCUGGCAGCUCAUCCUUGCCUCCCUGAUGACCACAGGGACUAGUAAAUCACACCCUGCAUAGGGAGGACCUGUCAGUAUACUUCAUCUUGUCCUAACAGGAACUCAAAACAAUAGAGUGAAAAAUAGUAAAAAUCUCAUCAACACACAGUGCGUGGGUAGGGUAGCUCAAGCCCUGUUCCGUGUACUGGGUCACAGACACCAUAAAGUGACAUUUUGAAAUUUCCAUGCUUCGGCUUAUCCCUCCUCACUGUGAAGCAGGUGGUCACCCUGGAUCCCUUUAUGCUUCCAAUACUGUGACCAAAUUCAAAAGGCCGUAUUCAAAGACAACAACGGGCCCAUAAAAAGAAAGAGGAGAGCUUUUCUGUCUGUAUCCUAUUCUUAGCAAGGAAGCCUUUCACAGACAAAUUCUGCCAUCAGAUUGCGUUUCUCAUCAGCUCAUCGUGCAGCGGGGAUUCAUAGUGAAAUCUCCACCACCUUCCAUUUGGUAAAAAUAUCAAAAUUGUUAACUGUGACUUUUCUCCCAGGUACUCCCCAGGAAAAACGGAAACUGAUCUACCCAGCCUGGCAGCUGAACCUAAGAAGGAAUCAGGCAGAUGAAGAGGGAGGGAGAAAUAUGAGUGGGCAAGUGGCAUCAACAUUGGGACCUACAAAGCAAGAUUGCUCCCAGGUGGAUGAACCUGUGGUUGUGAGUAACCUUACCAUUUGAUGUUUUCUAUUAGCACAAUUUAUUUUUGAGAAAUCAUGUUAAGUAGUACAGAUG
Molecule: long non-coding RNA, 1039 nt
Filed under: Bos indicus x Bos taurus (hybrid cattle)
Lineage: Eukaryota; Metazoa; Chordata; Mammalia; Artiodactyla; Bovidae
Description: lncRNA (ENSBIXG00000029725.1)
Source: RNAcentral